AGAAUCUCUUCAUCUAUUCUUUGUUAGCUCACUCACAGCAAGUUAUGAACAUGAGUGGUGUGCUGAGAGUAACCGGAACUAUAUGAUUGGCUUACUUUUCCCUUGUAUUUCUUCCUUGCCUUAUGCACCUAUGAGAUUGAUGAGAAUAUAAACUAUAGCACACUGAAUUUGAAGACAAACACAGCAAUAAUUAAGAAUCAAGGAUAUAAACCCAUGAUUGUUUUAUAAUGAAAAUUCUGAUCAAUUUGUAAUCAAGAUGGGUUAUUUUCCUGCAGAUUGUGUUUGCUGUAACUGUGGGGACAGAGUUGGUGACUGGAAACUCAGUUUUCAGAAAGAUGGACAUACAAGGGAUUGCUGAAGCAGGCGGUGUGUGCUUAGGAGCAGUGACCUGCGCUGCAAUUUUCGCUUGGUUCUCCAGUGCUCGCAAUAGAGUAGGCCGUAUCUUCACAACAAGUUGCAAUACAUUCAUUGAUUUACUAAUUGAUGAGGUUGU
RNAcentral lists this long non-coding RNA (493 nucleotides) under Manihot esculenta (cassava). Its description in RNAcentral is "long non-coding RNA (MESC_LNC007552)". Lineage: Eukaryota; Viridiplantae; Streptophyta; Magnoliopsida; Malpighiales; Euphorbiaceae. The record is from RNAcentral.